Long non-coding RNA from Oryzias melastigma (Indian medaka), 2840 nucleotides. RefSeq lists it as uncharacterized. The transcript is spliced from 2 exons. Lineage: Eukaryota; Metazoa; Chordata; Actinopteri; Beloniformes; Adrianichthyidae. The record is from RefSeq and is a predicted model, not a curated record.
CGUCAUUUAAAAAAAAAAGUAACAUAUUUACAUCAUGCUGCAUAUAAAUCAAUCCUUUUAUAUUUACAUUUAAGCUUAAAGCAAGCAAGACUUGAACACUUUUUAAUAUCAUUGUCCAAUAAAUUAAAAAUUUUUUGUAGUUUCUACUUUAUUUUUAAUUUUUUCUACUAUUUCUGACAUUUGUAACACAAAGAUUUUGUAAACCACAUGUCGACAUUAAAUUGUUUAACUUAUACAUUACCAGCACAGAAAUCUUUAAAUUUGAGGGAGUCUUAUGCAUUAUCUAUAAUGAUUCUUUUUGCAAAUUUAAAAAAGGCAAAGUCAACUAUUGAAGGCAAAUGGUUUCCAACCCAGUACUAAAAAGGUGUACCUAAUAAAAUGUCCAGUGAGUGUAUGUAAGUAGUUGAAGAAAACAGACUGAGGCUGAUGGUGUUUCAACAUGUAAUUCUAUGUAUCAUCACUCAUUUCACAGCUUCAGCUGUAGAAAGUUACUACAGAGCCGAUCAUGUAGGCAGAGUGUCAGAGAGCCGGUGACACGUAGUUUCUGUCAUCAGUGGCAGUCUGACACUGUUCCCUUUAUGUUCCUGCCUUAACUCGCACAAGAAAUAAGCUACUCAGCUUUUGCUUGUUCCCUUUUUGAUCAAACUAGUUUAUUCUGAACUGGCAGCAUUUUUGAGUGAAACCCUGAAAUGACCCGCUGCCACCAGUGCAGUGGCUGCAGAGUUUCUGCUUUGCCUCCUCCUCCUCCUCACACUGGUGUCAGCCGCCGUCAGCCCACAGCAGCUUCUCCGUUCAGCUCUGAUGUUCAACUCUGCAUGACUGAGUCCUGCUGGCAGGCGGCGGUAGCGUGGAGGCAGACUGUGCCAGCCUGAGACGGCAGAGGCAAGCCAACAUGAGGAAGACGAAGGUGAAGAGGCCAGAGAAGGAGACGGCAACAACUGCUACAGAGGAAGGCCAAGACAGCUCGCUCAGGGAAGCCCCGUCUGCAACAAAGCAGGACAAAGACGGAGAGGAUGAGCUCAGACGGCUAAUGGCAAGGUCAUGCAGAAGAUCAGAACAAGAGUUUAUACAGACACGGAUGGUUUUGGUUGAUGGAAGAAUUGUCUUUUCAUUUAGAUUUUCAGACAUUUCUUUGAAAACAAAGACUUAAAAGUGAAAUAUUGGAGAUUGCAUGUUGGAAUCCUGCAAAAAGUUUAACCCCUUAGCACCUGAAUUGGUUUUCACCUAUGAAAAAAAAUUAGCUUAAGUUUUUUGCUUUAAGUAUAUGCUAAAUUUAGGUCAUUUUAGAAGUUUCCUGCAUAUUUGAGAUAAUAAGGGGUUAAAGUCACAAAUGCAGUUUCAGCCAAACACUUCAAAAAAAUAUAUAAAAAAAAAAACAACCGAAAAAUAAAGAAAACUCCCCAAAAAAUCUGUUUUCAGCAACAAAAAACAAUUAUUUUUAAAGCUUUCUGGCAUAUCAAAAAAAAGUGUGCUGUUGGGUUUAAAUUUUUAGAGAAUGGAUGAACAAUCAUGCAGGCACUCACUUAGAGGUUGUUCUCCGUUCGUGGCUUUUACUCACUCUUUACAUCCCCACUAAUAGGAAGCCACUCAUGCUUAUACAACACAUGAAGCAUUAGUCGGAAGUUAUUUAUCAAAAAACUUGACAGAGAUAAUUCCAUUUCUAUUAAACGACUGUCUGCCUGAAGAGUUUAUGAAGAGCUAUGAGGAAAGUUCACUGAGGCCCCAGGAGGAAAUAUAAAGCAAAACCUUUCACUCUCAUGAAUGUAAGAAUUUAAAAUGAAAAUAUAGACUUAGUAGCCUUUAUAGGAGUAUUUUUUAUCAAUGUGAGUAGAUUAUUUAGCUAAAAAAUAUAAAUUUGACAGAUUUGAAUGCAUUUCUGCACAUAUAUCACUACUUAGGACACUAAAACAACAAAAAAUGUAUUGAAGAUGUGGCACAAGCAACGUGACUUAAAUUACAUGUUGCAAAUCCGUUUCACCUUAACAAACUCUCAUUGGGUAAAAUAAAACACUUUGACAGCAGGGUUGCAAUUUUGCAUCUCAACACUGAUUGAACUCCCUGUUUCCUUCAGGCCACAACAAAGAAAAUAAUGUGUUUUUACUCCACACAAAGAUUGAGCUCAUCUCAAUGCAAAGCGAAACGCUCGCCACACACAAAGAAACGGGGGUCUGGUGCAGCUUGAAGCUACUAUGGACUGUGAGGGUUGUUUCCAGCUCAGUGGCUGAGACCCCAGUGGUGCUGACCCAUUUAGCUGCAGGGAACACGCUGUUCUAGACCUGACAGCUCUCCCGGUCCAAACAAAACAGCUCCAACCCGAGACCGACCCUAAGGUCACGGCCGCGAGGCCCGCCAUGCGUUGGAGCACUAACUGAAAGAAGCCGGUUCCAUCUUUAUGGAUUUCUUACUUGUGUGAUCACAGGUUUAUGUGUGUGCAGCCGGCAUGUCACCAUGGUAACAGAUGGCUGGCAGAAGUUAUAUUCUUUUAAAUUUUGAUGUGUAAGUUACCUGGAGAAUGAAGACAAAGCCAAUGAGAAAUCGGAACUAAACGGCCCGCUUUUUUUUUUUUUUAACCACUUUUCUUUUCUAAAAUCUCUAUUUUUUUGUUUUUCUUUCUUUAAAAAAGUAUAAAUAAAAACGUGUUUUAUUUGUUUAUCAGAAGCUGCAAAAGAGGAGGAGGCUGAUAAGUUUGCUGACACAACCUUUGCAGCAUUUUCUUUUUUCAGUUGGAACUUUGAGAGCUUUUCUAACUCAAGGAACAAUCACUUUAAUGCUUCAGCAAGCAAAAGCAGGAACAAAAAACAAAAAAAAAGCAGUGCUAUUAUUAAACAUGGAAAUGCUAA